RNAcentral lists this small RNA (523 nucleotides) under Pan troglodytes (chimpanzee). RNAcentral's name for it is "retained intron". The record is from RNAcentral. Lineage: Eukaryota; Metazoa; Chordata; Mammalia; Primates; Hominidae.
CAUUGUGCAUGUAGACUAUGUGAAAGGGUUUGGAGGAAAAUUUGGUGUGCAGACAGACAGACAAGACAAAUGUGCCCUUGGCUGGGAUCACCAGGAGAAAUUGCAGCUGCAUGAAUCCCAAAAAGCAAGAGAACAAACUGCGAUUGAGCCUCUUUUUAGCGCUCAGUAGAGCAGGCGCACAGGAAGCAGAUGAGAAUAAGCCCGUGCUGGUGCGGAAGACUGUGCUAUUGAAGUGGCGCGUUGCAAAGACUACUCCAAAGGAUUCGGCGGGAAGUAUGGGGUGCAGAAGGAUCGGAUGGAUAAGAAUGCGUCAACCUUUGAGGAUGUCACCCAGGUGUCCUCUGCCUACCAGAAGACAGUACCUGUCGAAGCUGUGACCAGCAAAACAAGUAACAUCAGAGCUAACUUUGAAAACCUCGCUAAGGAGAAAGAGCAGGAGGACAGGCGGAAGGCGGAGGCGGAGAGAGCCCAGCGGAUGGCCAAGGAGCGGCAGGAGCAGGAAGAGGCCAGGAGGAAGCUGGAG